RNAcentral lists this ribosomal RNA (1687 nucleotides) under Sardinella zunasi (Japanese sardinella). Its description in RNAcentral is "16S ribosomal RNA". It matches the Rfam family "Bacterial large subunit ribosomal RNA". Lineage: Eukaryota; Metazoa; Chordata; Actinopteri; Clupeiformes; Clupeidae. The record is from RNAcentral.
ACCAAACAGCUAGCUCAACCAGAAAUGGUUAGACUAACAAUGUUAACUAACCGAUCAUAAACUAACCUCAACAACCAAACCAUUUGACCACCCCAGUACGGGCGACAGAAAAGGACCCAAGAAGCUAUAGACAAAGUACCGCAAGGGAAUGCUGAAAGAGGGCUGAAAAAGCGCACUAAAGUAUAUGAAAGCAGAGGCUAGACCUCGUACCUUUUGCAUCAUGAUCUAGCCAGUAACCCCAAGCAAAGAGAACUCUAGUUUGAACCCCCGAAACCUAGAUGAGCUACUCCGGGACAGCCUAUUAUAGGGCCAACCCAUCUCUGUGGCAAAAGAGUGGGAAGAUCCCCGAGUAGAGGUGAAACACCUAACGAGUCGGGUUAUAGCUGGUUGCUCAGGAAAUGAAUAGAAGUUCAGCCCCGUCGGACCCUAAUCCGGAAUGGUUCUACCCAAACCAAGUAUAAGGAUACCUGCGGGAGUUAGUCAAAGGAGGUACAGCUCCCUUAACAAAGGAUACAACCUUCUCAGGAGGCUAAGGAAUACAUCAAAUGAAAGCACAGGUUUCAGUGGGCCUGAAAGCAGCCAUCUGUACAGAAAGCGUCAAAGCUCAUACCAGCUCAAGCUUAUUAUAAUGUUAAGCACCUUCCUAUGCCCCUCAACAAUACUGAGCCCUCCUAUGCUCCCAUAGGAGAGACCCUGCUAGAACGAGUAAUAAGAAGCAAGAACUUCUCCCUGCACAUGUGUAAGUCGAGCUGGACCCACCGUCGACAACUAACGAACCCAACGGAAGAGGACAAUGCGUUACCGCCACUAUAGGCCAAGGAGAACACGCACCCCACCCCAUCGUUAACCCCACACAGGAGUGCCUUAGUCACGGGAAAGACUUAAAGAAUAAAAAGGAACUCGGCAAACCCAGACCCCGCCUGUUUACCAAAAACAUCGCCUCCUGCCCCUAAUUAUAUAGGAGGUCCCGCCUGCCCUGUGACCAAAAGUUUAACGGCCGCGGUAUCAUAACCGUGCAAAGGUAGCGCAAUCAAUUGUCUUUUAAAUGGGGACCUGUAUGAAUGGCAUAACGAGGGUCUAGCUGUCUCUUUUUUCUGGUCAAUGAAACUGAUCUGCCCGUGCAGAAGCGGGCAUGCUAACACAAGACGAGAAGACCCUAUGGAGCUUUAGACGCCCACCAACCGCGAGCAGCGCUCCCCUUAACGGGGGCCCAAACAACGCGGCCCUGGUAUAAACGUCUUAGGUUGGGGCGACCGCAGGGGAGAACAAAGCCCCUGAGAGGGUUGGGAACGGCCCUAAAACUGAGAGCUACAGCUCCAAGUCGCAAAACGUUUGACCGAUAAUGAUCCGGCUUACUGCCGAUCAACGGACCAAGUUACCCUAGGGAUAACAGCGCAAUCCUCUCCCAGAGCCCAUAUCGACGAGGGGGUUUACGACCUCGAUGUUGGAUCAGGACAUCCUAAUGGUGCAGCCGCUAUUAAGGGUUCGUUUGUUCAACGAUUAAAGUCCUACGUGAUCUGAGUUCAGACCGGAGUAAUCCAGGUCAGUUUCUAUCUGUGACGCCACCUUUCCUAGUACGAAAGGACCGGAAUGAUGAGGCCCAUACCUUUGGCACGCCUCCCUCCCAACCCGCUGAAGACAACUAAAGCGGGAUAGGGGAGCAACUUACCGCCCGAGAAAAGGGCAU